This 502-nucleotide ribosomal RNA is filed under the name uncultured bacterium. RNAcentral's name for it is "bacterial SSU rRNA". It matches the Rfam family "Bacterial small subunit ribosomal RNA", at positions 391 to 884 of the family's 1533-position model. The record is from RNAcentral.
GCCAUGCCGCGUGUGUGAAGAAGGCCUUUUGGUUGUAAAGCACUUUAAGCGAGGAGGAGGCUACUGGUAUUAAUACUACCGGAUAGUGGACGUUACUCGCAGAAUAAGCACCGGCUAACUCUGUGCCAGCAGCCGCGGUAAUACAGAGGGUGCGAGCGUUAAUCGGAUUUACUGGGCGUAGAGCGUGCGUAGGCGGCUUUUUAAGUCGGAUGUGAAAUCCCUGAGCUUAACUUAGGAAUUGCAUUCGAUACUGGGAGGCUAGAGUAUGGGAGAGGAUGGUAGAAUUCCAGGUGUAGCGGUGAAAUGCGUAGAGAUCUGGAGGAAUACCGAUGGCGAAGGCAGCCAUCUGGCCUAAUACCGACGCUGAGGUACGAAAGCAUGGGGAGCAAACAGGAUUAGAUACCCUGGUAGUCCAUGCCGUAAACGAUGUCUACUAGCCGUUGGGGCCUUUGAGGCUUUAGUGGCGCAGCUAACGCGAUAAGUAGACCGCCUGGGGAGUACG